UGUAGAAUUAGAGCACGGAUUGCUUGGUUAGUAACAUAUUAUUGCUUAUAAUCCCGGUAAAUUUGGACGCUGAUUCAUGAUAUUUUUCUCCCACUCCGCAAUAACUCUCUCCCACUAACUUGAAAACCGAAUCACCAUUCUCUCUCCUGCAAUCGACCUUUCUCUCUUUCCCUCUUUUAUUCAAUUACCGAUUUUCAUUCCUAAUUCACAAUAAACCCAUUCCUAAUUUACAAUAAACCCUUGGUCGCUGCUUGUUUCAGGGUAACAAUGGCGCUUUCUGCUAGGCAUCUCGCGCCGAAGCUCUGAAGUUCGCCACGUUGGGCAAGUCAUCGCUGGUUGUUUGUCAUCCGACGCUUCGGCCUCCGCUCGAGAGCUUUGGGACGCAAUUAUACAAUGCUGAGAAAGAGGAAUACAACCGGAGAGCCUGAGAUAGAAGAGGAAUGCGAAAGACAAUUUGCAUAAGCUCGAAGUCGGUCAGAAAAUGAGGGUUGAUCAGGGAACAAUUCUGAUAAAGACAAAUAACUUUGAAUGGUGAAUGAUAUUGUUUGAAUGUUGAAAAGAUGGCAGCAGAGUACCCCAAACUUUGAAUGGUGAAUGCUAUUGUUUUAGAAAAAUGACAAUAACUUUGUUUGUUUUGUUUUGUUAGGAAUAUUGGUUUGUUUUGGUGGUUUUAGAA
Salvia splendens (bonfire salvia) is the source of this 676-nucleotide long non-coding RNA. RefSeq lists it as uncharacterized. The record is from RefSeq and is a predicted model, not a curated record. The transcript is spliced from 2 exons. NCBI's taxonomy places the organism in Eukaryota, Viridiplantae, Streptophyta, Magnoliopsida, Lamiales, Lamiaceae.